GGGUUGUGAGGUUAAGCGACUAAGCGUACACGGUGGAUGCCCUGGCAGUCAGAGGCGAUGAAGGACGUGCUAAUCUGCGAUAAGCGCCGGUAAGGUGAUAUGAACCGUUAUAACCGGCGAUUUCCGAAUGGGGAAACCCAGUGUGAUUCGUCACACUAUCAUUAACUGAAUCCAUAGGUUAAUGAGGCGAACCGGGGGAACUGAAACAUCUAAGUACCCCGAG
Molecule: ribosomal RNA, 223 nt
Filed under: Salmonella enterica subsp. enterica serovar Typhimurium
Lineage: Bacteria; Pseudomonadati; Pseudomonadota; Gammaproteobacteria; Enterobacterales; Enterobacteriaceae
Description: partial 23S ribosomal RNA
Rfam family: Bacterial large subunit ribosomal RNA
Source: RNAcentral